AGAGAUGCACUGGGUUUAAAGAGUGCGCAGGCGGUUUUGUAAGACAGAGGCGAAAUCCCCGGGCUCAACCUGGGAACUGCCUUUGUGACUGCAAGGCUGGAGUGCGGCAGAGGGGGAUGGAAUUCCGCGUGUAGCAGUGAAAUGCGUAGAUAUGCGGAGGAACACCGAUGGCGAAGGCAAUCCCCUGGGCCUGCACUGACGCUCAUGCACGAAAGCGUGGGGAGCAAACA
This 230-nucleotide ribosomal RNA is filed under the name uncultured Alicycliphilus sp. Its description in RNAcentral is "partial 16S ribosomal RNA". It matches the Rfam family "Bacterial small subunit ribosomal RNA", at positions 548 to 774 of the family's 1533-position model. Lineage: Bacteria; Pseudomonadati; Pseudomonadota; Betaproteobacteria; Burkholderiales; Comamonadaceae. The record is from RNAcentral.